Molecule: long non-coding RNA, 5930 nt
Organism: Talpa occidentalis (Iberian mole)
Lineage: Eukaryota; Metazoa; Chordata; Mammalia; Eulipotyphla; Talpidae
Exons: 3
Source: RefSeq, a predicted model, not a curated record
CCUGCCGGGACCCCCAGCGGCCCAGCGCAGCGCCGAACCCCAGCGUGGAGGCAGCUCCACCGCCUCGGCCGGAUUCCGUGAAAUUCUAACGCCAGGAAACAGCCUGCGCCGGCUCCGCGGCGUGGGGCCCCGAACCCCGAACCGAACCCCGAGCUGGAGCCGGUCCCGCCUGGGCUUCGCGUCUCAGGCAGGUUUGGGUUUCCAGUUCGUCGUUUUCUUUCUUUGAACACAUCUAGUAGUUUGGCGUGCCGCUUCUUGCCUCUUCUCUCAGUGACUCCGAGGUUGCUCCAGUGCUGCCUCCUUUCCACGAUGGCCUUCCACCCUGGGGAUCGAAGGCCGGAAAUUUAGGAGCUUUUUGAUGGACGUUCCAGGGGCUUCUAGCCUUUUUUUGUGAGUAGUUAUAAAGGUUUUUGAAAAAUGGGAAAAUGGGAGUAGGCAGCCUUUCCUGUCCGUUGUUUUCGGAGGUGCCCCCUUGUCGCCAGAGCCGGGCAGCAGAGCCUGGCUCUGCUGAGCUCCAAUGACUUUGUCCUUCAUCAGUCUGGAGGAAAGCAUUAUCUUAAGUCUUUGGCCCCUGCUUCCACUUGUCCAUUCUAGAAUCUACUGUUCAGGUGGAAUUCCUUCUAGAGCAAUGUUAUAAAUUAUAGCUUUGGGCUUCUGGUGUCACUGUUUUCUAGCUCACUGUUUUCUAGUAUUCUGAAAAGAGGUUUGGCACUGUCAGAGCUCUGACUCCUGAAUUCAGGGCCAAGGAGACAACAUGACUUGAGGAGAGACAGCAGCAGGUGUUUGGAAGCAGUUAGUCUCUGGACUACGGAUGGGAGGGGAGAAACAGGGCUGAGGCUAGGACGAUGGAUUAAGGAAUUUGUUCUCUAUCAAGCUGAGGAUUUGUAUUUUGGAGAAAUCAUACAGAUACGUUUUUCAGCUGGUGGUGGGGAGAGGAGGUAGUGGCGAAUUGUGCUUUAGAAAAGUUAAUCUGAACAUUUUAAAGCUGAGUCACACACAAAUUGUGACACUAGUGAUGGAACUUCAUUUCCUUCCCCGAGCAUGGUCUGGACGUAGCGACUUGCUUCCAUGGAAUAGAAUACAGCAGAAGUGACAGGCCAGCACAUCUAAGGGUGGGUUCUAAAAAGACCAGUAGUUUCCACCUCAAGUACUCCCUUCCUCCCUCUUACUGAGGCGGUCUGCCAGCCACCUUUGGACGAGCUUGACAGGGGAGCCUUCCUCAGCGGAACCCUGAGAUGCCUGUGGACCCAUGAGACCUGAGCAAGAAUCAUCAGGCUGCACUGUGCCCAGAUUCCUACCCCACAAAAACUAUUAAGGCCUGUCCAAGAAGAAAGGAGUAGAAGAUCAGAAAAAUGUCCAAUGAAAGAAUCUUUAAGAACAGAAAUGUAAAUUAGAGGGUAUCACUAUUGCUGAUCAGAUAUUAUCAAGAUAAAAAAAGUCCCCAAACAAACAAAAAUCCAUUUAUCUGAAAACUCACUGUUAUUUCGACUUCCUCAAUACAGGUAUGAAUAUGAAGCACCGCAUUAUAACCCGGGCAGAUGAUGGAUUUGUGCUCUAUAAUCACUAUCUGUCAAACAAAAAAAUUCACAUCUUCAUUCCUGAUGUAAAAAAGAAUCAAAUGCUCUGAAGUGCCAAAUAGUAGCAUAAGAAUAUGUAACUCACAUUCUCAGUGCCUCAUUUUUGUGUUAGCAGUGAUAGGUCAGUUACCUAACCUCUAAGCCUGAGCUGUGAUUUCCUUGCCCAGCAUUCAGUCACACUUUAAAAACACUUUCUCUCUGGGAAGCCUUUCCUUUUUACCCCAAGGAAUUACAUUAAUCACUUGCUUACAUGCUACUGUUUGUUUUUUCUAGAUGUAAACUUCUAAUAGUUUUAUCCAUUUCUCAAUAGCUAAGGUUCAGUAAGAGUGAACAACCAUGUAUCCAACAUCAGAUUCUAACUUGAUCAGUCAGUGGUAAUCCCUUGUAAAAGAACUCAAAAAUUCUGUGGCCUACACCAAUUAUCUAUUGUCAUUCUGGAGAUCAGGAUGCUUGUAAUAUGGAAAAAGUGCCUUUUUUCCUGUCUGGAAAUAGACAAUCCAUGAUUUUCAAGGCAACUGUGCUCUACAUAAAAUGAAAGACACUUGAGUGAAAUGAUAUACAUACGUGUGUUUAUAAAUAUCAACAGGAAACAAAAAAUUAAAAGGAAUCUAUAAAAGAACCCUACCUAGCCAGUAAGAACUUACUACCUUGAAGACCUGUGUGUACACAAUGAAAGUGUUUAUUCUAUUUCAGUUUCCCUUCGACAACAGAAUAACAUGUUACCAAUAAUCAGAACAAAGGACAUUUAAAUUCUCAUUUAUCUAGAAAAAGACUACUAAGACAACUACAGUAACUGGUUUACCUGUGCAUCAAAUGUGCGUCCAGAAUGACAAAGAUUAUUAGGAUCACAAAGUAUGAAUCCUGGAAGAAUCUCCUCCUCUUCAAUUCCUUUCAGUCUGAUUUUGAGAUUUUCACCUGGGGCUACAGAAUCAGUUUCUACAUCAUCAGAAAGGAUUCCAAGGACUUCCACAUUGUGCUUAAAAAGAAACCAAGAUUGGAGGUUUUCUGACACUGCACUACAAAACAUAGUAUGACCGCGACUAUUCACUAAAGACUUGGCAAGUCACAUAUUCCUGUGUUUUUGACUAGCCAAAACACGUAUUUGACUAUAAAGCUUUAUCACAUUUGUAUGAUAUGAACUUAAUGAAAAUUGUAUCUGAGAAGUGUCAGUUAAACUUGGUCAUCUUUUAACUAUUACUUCCUUAUAGUUUUUAAAUACAACACAGUAUAGGCCUUCCCUGGGGGCGCAAAAGGUUAAGUCUCAGCAUAUGAAGCUAUAAGCAGCCUCUGCAGCAUGAGUUUGAUCUCUGACCAGAAAGCUACCCACAUGGUAUAGUAGACCUCUUCUGUCUCGCCCGCUGCUCCCCUCAGCAGUGUAUUUCAGUCAUUCUGCCUGUUCUGCUCCCUACACUGUCUCUGGUGAAUCCCUUCACCCUCCCCCUUUCUACCUAAACCCCAAAUCUUAUAUGCAUAAAGUAAAUCUUUUAGAAAUUAAAAGACAGCACAGUGUUUUGUUUUUAUUUUUCAAGUUAAAAGUAUUAAACUAGGGCUUCCCCUGCUUACAUGCUACUGUUUGUUUUUUCUAGAUGUAAACUUCUAAUAGUUUUAUCCAUUUCUCAAUGGAUAAAAGCGGUGGAUUGCAAAGCUGCCCGCAGCCUCUGCAGCACCAGUUCAAUCCCCGGCUGCUCCCUGGCCACCGGAGGAGGGUCCCACAUGGAGGAGGGUCCCACAUGGCAUGCAGACCCCUCCUGCCGCCCGCUGCUUCCCUCAGCAGUGCACCUCAGUCCUUCUGGCUGCUCUGCUCCCCGCUCUGGCUCUGGUGAAUUCUCACCCUCCCGCGCUUCUGACUGUACCCAGUGCUUAUAUAAAUAAAUAAAUAAAUCUUUAAAAAAAAGAAAAAAGGUAUUAAACUAAACAUUUGGAUUUUAUCUUGUGGAUGUAAUUUUAUUAUUCUGGAACUCCAAGACUUAACAGACUCAAUUUUCACAUCUUAGCAAUCCUCAAAUACCUGAAGAGUGUACUUAAGUUAUUUGAAUAAUUAAGUUUAAAGAGCAUACUGACUAUAAUAGGUACAAAGUUUCCUUUUGUCAUGAAAAUGUUCUGAAACUAGAUAGUGGUGAUGGCUGCACAAUACUGUGACUGUACUAAACAUCACUAAUGGUGUACUUCACACAAUAAUUAUGUAUUAAGUAUACUGAUGGGGAAAAUUGCUUAAAGCUAUACCCACAAGUUUUCCCUUAUUCCAUUCCUGCCCCUGGGGAUAAUUCAGAUAAUCAAAAUAAUUAUCAGAAAACAAAACAACAGUCUUCAAGUAGAUAAAAGGUAGAACCUAAAUUCUAUUCCAUACCAGAAUUCUAUAAACUGUCACUUGCUAAGCUAUCCCCCCACCAACUGGUUCUCUUUCCCAAAAGGCAGCUUAUGCCUUCAUGAUUCCUAUCUGUUGAAAUUCAUUCCAAGAACUGAAACCAAGCCAUAAAUUUUAAAUUCUUUAUGGCAAUGGGGUAGGAACUGACAAUUUACCAUAUACAAACUGAACAAGUAUUGCUCACUACCUUCUGUCCUACUAUCCCUUUUUCUGGUUCAACACAAAUAAGACCUUUUAUUGUUCAACACAGCAGAUGUAGUCUAAAGGUCCACAGUCAUCAAAAAUUAAGAUUGAGACAGACAUUAUGUUCGUUGAAAGGUUUUCAAGAUCGCAAUUAACUUCCAAUCCAAUAAACACCUCUAUCUGAGAGCUGUGAGGCUACAUUUAAGACAUUUGGUGAGGAGUGGGUAGCACUUGUAAAGGAAAGCUGCAGCUGUCUUCACAGUUCUCAUCUUGUCUUGACAGGACCCUGGCGCAGUUCAAACAGUUCUGGACACAAGUCUAGGAUUUGUGUGAUACAAGUUGCAAUCUUAAGUGUCCACGUUCCUAGUAACAUGAUCUUUAGUUUUACACUCACGUACCAGACAGAUCCCGAGUAUCUUAACCUCUCAGAAAUGGGCCACAAAAAAACAGGAUGAAAAGCCACCUUCAAUGAAAUACAUGCAGGUUCAAUUAUCUCCACUUCCCUAUUUCCAUAUGCAAACUCAACACCAUUGAUUUUGUAAAUAACAAUAUUCAGACAUUUCAUCACACACUCAAGAGUUUCUGAUCUUCCUAUAUGGCUUCUUUUGCUUUACCUUUUGCUGCAGCCCAGCUUAGGAGGUGAAUCAGAGGCUUCAAAGGACUUAAGAACAAAGAGUUUUCAAGCCACCAAUCUAGUCAAAUUUACAUAUUAAUCUGCACCACAAAACAAUUUCAAGGAUUAAAGUAUCAAUUUGUAAUUCUCAUUAAAAAAACCUUUAUAAUAUUGCAGCCAAAUGUAGAACAUAAAAAUUUUCAUCUUCACCUUUUUAUUUUUAAAGAUUUAUUUAUUUAUACAAGCAUUGGGUACAGUCAGAAGCGUGGGAGGGUGAGAGGAUUCACCAGAGCCAGAGCUGGUAACAGAACAGGCAGACUGAUGAAAUACACUGCUGAGGGGAGCAGCAGGCAGCAAGAGAGGUCUGCGCGCCAUGUGGGCCCCUUGCCCAGUGGCUGGGGAUCGAACCAGAGCUGCAGAGGCUGCGCGCAGCUUUGCAACCCAGCAUUCAACCGCUGCACCAGGGGGGAGGCCCAUCUUAACCUUUUAAAAAUGUUAGUUCCAUCGUAUCAAAUACAUUCAUACUGUAAUGCAAGCAAUGCUCAAAAUUCCAAAUUCAUCUCACAAAGUGAAACUAUCCAUUAAACAACCUAACUCCCCAUUCUCCCUCCACCAACUGUGGGGACCAUUCACCGUCUCCAUGAAAUUGGACUACACUAGGUACCACAAAUAAGUAGGAUCUUAGGGUAUCUGUCCUUCUAUGACUGUAUCUCAGCAUAAUUUCCUCAAGGUUCAUGUUAUUCAUCCAUUCAUCUGCAGGACACCUGGCUUGCUUCCACCUUUUGUCUGUGGUGGAUAGUGCUGAUAUAAGGGUUUACAAUCAUCUCUUAAAGACUGUUUUCCACUCUUUUUAAGUAUAUACCCAACCUACAAGUAGAAUUGCUGGGUCAUACGGUUAUUCUGGUUUUUUUUUUUUUUUUUUCAUUUUUUGAGGCUGUUUUUAUCUUUUCUACAACAGCUGUACAAUUUUGCAUUCCUGCCAUCACCACAGCCAAUUUCGCCAUAUCCCCACUAACUUUUGCUAUUACUUGUUUUUUUGCUGGUAGUCAUCCUUACAGGUUUAAUGUCAUCUCAUUGGUUUUGAUUUGCAUUUUUCCUAAUGAUUACCUUUUCUAACUAUAUCUUUUAAUGCUCAACAUCUUUUCAUGUACUUGUGGCCAUCUGUACAUCAUUUGUAUAAGUUUUUGUUGAA